This 540-nucleotide ribosomal RNA is filed under the name Triticum aestivum (bread wheat). RNAcentral describes it as "partial small subunit ribosomal RNA". Lineage: Eukaryota; Viridiplantae; Streptophyta; Magnoliopsida; Poales; Poaceae. The record is from RNAcentral.
AUGAGUCAUCCUGAUGGCAUCAACAUUCAUGAUGGCAAGUUCUACCUAGGAUAUGUUGACUAUUCAUGUCAGCCAGGUGUUCUUCCACCCUUCAGGAAGACCAGGUAUCAUCUGAAUGAGUUCUCUAGUAGGAACUACCCUAGGACUCCACAGGAACUGUUCAAUCCCAGACACUCCAGCCUUAGAGUAACGGUUGAGAGGGUAUUUGGAGCUCUGAAGAAUAGGUUCAAGAUCCAAGAUUAGAAGCCAAUCCACACUUACCCUACCGAGGUUAAGCUUGUUCUUGCAUGUUGCAUUCUGCAUAACUGGAUCCUGCAAUGGGGUUGUGAUGAACUGGUGCCUGAGGAGGAAGAUGUGACGCCUGAUGAUCUUGACCUCGGUGGCCAUUGUGUUGAGGCAUUUGACAAAAAAGCCUGGAAGAACAAAAGGCUGGAGUGGGCAAAGGCAAUGUGGGAUAACAGAGGUCAGACAAGGAUCCGAAGAAGAAGAAGAAGAGCAAGAACAGCAAUAGAAGAGGAAGACGAAGAGGAACAACAAUAG